This 253-nucleotide ribosomal RNA is filed under the name uncultured bacterium. RNAcentral's name for it is "partial 16S ribosomal RNA". It matches the Rfam family "Bacterial small subunit ribosomal RNA", at positions 524 to 776 of the family's 1533-position model. The record is from RNAcentral.
GACGAACCGAGCGAGCGUUGUUCGGAAUCACUGGGCUUAAAGGGUGCGUAGGCGGGCUGGUAAGUCAGUGGUGAAAUCCCCGAGCUUAACUUGGGAACUGCCAUUGAUACUAUCAGUCUUGAAUACCGUGGAGGUCAGCGGAAUAUGUCAUGUAGCGGUGAAAUGCUUAGAUAUGACAUAGAACACCAAUUGCGAAGGCAGCUGGCUACACGAAUAUUGACACUGAGGCACGAAAGCGUGGGGAUCAAACAGG